UUGCCUACGGGGGGCUGCAGUAAGGGAUAUUGGGCAAUGGGCGAAAGCCUGACCCAGCAACGCCGCGUGGAGGAUGACGGCCUUCGGGUUGUAAACUCCUUUUGUCGGGGACGAGACAAGGACGGUACCCGGCGAAGAAGUCACGGCUAACUACGUGCCAGCAGCCGCGGUAAAACGUAGGUGGCAAGCGUUAUCCGGAUUUACUGGGCGUAAAGCGUGUGCAGGCGGAUGGCCAAGUGGUGUAUGAAAGCUCCAGGCUUAACCUGGAGAGGUUAUGCCAGACUGGCCGUCUUGAGGCAGAGAGAGGGACAUGGAAUUCCGGGUGUAGUGGUGAAAUGCGUAGAGAUCCGGAGGAACUCCAGAGGCGAAGGCGGUGUCCUGGCUCUGACCUGACGCUCAGACACGAAAGCAUGGGGAGCGAACGGGAUUAGAUACCCGGGUAGUCUA
This 447-nucleotide ribosomal RNA is filed under the name uncultured bacterium. RNAcentral describes it as "bacterial SSU rRNA". It matches the Rfam family "Bacterial small subunit ribosomal RNA", at positions 335 to 797 of the family's 1533-position model. The record is from RNAcentral.